UGGUCCUUUUAAAACAUCAAA
Molecule: non-coding RNA, 21 nt
Filed under: Caenorhabditis elegans
Lineage: Eukaryota; Metazoa; Nematoda; Chromadorea; Rhabditida; Rhabditidae
Source: RNAcentral